Molecule: non-coding RNA, 27 nt
Filed under: Rattus norvegicus (Norway rat)
Lineage: Eukaryota; Metazoa; Chordata; Mammalia; Rodentia; Muridae
Source: RNAcentral
UUCCAGCGAAUGAACGGAUUGUUUGGG